GAUGGCGAAAAGCUGCUGCCCGCGGGUGGGCUCCUGGGGGGACGCCCGGCGGCGGAGCGGGGCGGGGCAGGGCGGGGCAGGGAGGCCUGCAGCGCUGCAGCCACAGGAACCCUUGGUGCUUCGCACAGCCGGGCCGGUUUUUCCCAGAGCCUCCCUCCCCUCAAGCCUAACCCCAAUUCCAGUUUUCCUCAGGCCUUUCGGGUGGCCCCGGGGUUUGUCUCUGGAAUCUAGGCUGACUCCCCACCCGACCCGCAGAGCCCUGUGCGGGCAGUGGCCCUGACCAUUGCGGUGGCUGCUGGAGCUCCGGGCUGUGGAGCCGGGGCUGCGCGCCGGAGCGCUGGAGAGUGUGUGGCAGAGCGUGGAAACUGGUCGCUGUGUGCUUGUGUCGCUGGCUGCGUGUCCUAGGGGAUGGGCAAAUCACACGGCUGCCACAUACCCAUUGCCACCCAACGCUAAGAAAAGAGCAGGAAAAGCAAAACAAAGAAAAAAGCAAAGAAGAAAGGGAAAUAGAAAGUCAAUGUGGGGGAUUCCGGAGCUUGAGGAGUGGGAGGCGCUGCUCUCUUCUUGGCUCGCGGCGCCUGGGCUGGCAGACUUGGAGCCCCGGGUGGCCGCAGCCACAGACGUGCUGUGGCGGUGAACUGACCUAAGGACGCGGGAGGUCUGCCUGGGUCAGAUGUCCGCCGACAGCUCUGCUGGCUUUACGCGUUUACCUCCAUUUCUCUGUUCUCCUCCAGCCACUCUGUCCCUGGCGACCCUCCCUGCUGGUAUUUCUGUACAUGCAAGAGUCUUGGCAUCAUCGCCAGGGACCAAGGGGUCGGUGGACCCUCCCGGGGACAAUUCUGCAUCUCAGGACAGCCUCGAGGACUGCGACGGGCAGGAAGAUGGAGAAGGGGUGGGGGGUGCUGAAGGAGGACAGAGGCUAAGGGUGUGCCGCCUUGUGUGUCAAUAAUUCUGGGGAAUUUUCACCUCUCCCAGACGAGUCUCCACUUACCCCACGAGGGGCCCCCUGGACGCCCAGCAGCGCGCACAGGUGGAAUUCCUGCGCGUCUAACCGGCACCACGCAUGGACCUCACCUGUCUGGGUCCGAGAGCUACAAGUUAGCGGCGAUUGCCCGGGACCUCAGGUGCGGACCGCAAGGGACAUUGGGCGGGUGCAGCGGUCCCCAAUCUACGACCGCGGGACCUGCCGGGGCGGUUCAGGACCCAUUGCGAGUUAGGUGGCGAAGCCCAGGCACAGUCCGUGUUUCAUGGGCUUCGGGUUGGGACCUUGUUCCUCAGCCACCGCGGACUUUCGCGCUCCUGCGCGGGGCUAAAAUAGUAUGGCAUUGCAGAAGGCUUCCCUCUCUUUGUCUUGGGACCCUCUCCCCCAUUCUUAUUGCUUCUGCUUCAUGGCCAUGACCCGGAGACUGCAAUGGGAAACCUCCAGCGCUGGAGGGCGGCUCCUAAAGCGGAGCCGGGGAUAGCUUGGAGCCAGGGCGAGCCGGGCCUCCAUCCCACAUGCACUGAAGACGCGGUCAGACCCCAGCAGGAAGGAACGCGAGGGGCGGGAGGGACGAACCUCUCCUUGUCUUGUCCACGGCCGCAUCUAGAGUGGGUGGCGGGAAGAGGGUCGGCAACAGUAGAGAGAACUAGGGGCUGGAAGACGGAGCGAAGCCGGGACAGCGCGGCUCCCAGGCUGCUUUCGCCACAUUCGGCUGGACUCAGUCACCCUCGGAAUCGUAGGGAUACCCCACCCCGCGCUGUGCUUCAUUUGCCCCUUCCUUCCAGACCCGCCAUCACUGCCCGCAGUCCUCCAAGCCUCAGGAUCCAAAGUUUCCGUCUGACAAUCUGCACGUGGGAUUAGUUGCUGUUGAAGGCGCUCCUCCAAUGAAAUCUUCUCUGCUCUCUGAUUUGGCGGUUCUUCUGAGCAAAUAUGACAGCCUUUUCUCCAGGCUCCUUUUCGCUCCUCUCCAUUUCCAUCCCCAGAGCCCAGCUCUCCAUCUGCAAUUUCUACAUCAGAACCACCCCCAACCCCGAGUCCUUUCCCUGCAAAUGUGUGAGUGCUACAAAGGUGACAUGGCAUAUCGGGAAGAAUGCAGUAUUGCUUUUUGAUUGUCGGAGAUACUUAAGCCCAGUUUUUCCAGCUAUCACCAAGCAGGACCUGACACGAACUUGAUUUUGCUUGAUUGAAGUCAUCCUGAAGCACAGCAUUACAAGACUGUGUCUCUGCCUUCAAUCUCCAUACUCACAUGCCACCAUCACUGGGCAAUUAUAAGAUACCUUCAAGAAAAUCAAAAGAGCUCUGCUAAGUCUCAUUCUCAGCCUCUCCCAGCAUUUGUUCUGUCACAUUAAAUAUAUGAUUUUGUCAUUUCUCCUCUCUUACUCUUUUCAGAAUGAAUUCACAUUUUCCUUUUUUACUCCAUUAUUUCUGUCUACUGAGGCUCCAUAAACCCAUGAAGCUGCUUGAGUCUUUUUGAACACACACAGACACACACCCAUCAAAGCAAAAGUGAGGAGAAAUAGAUCUUUGGCCAGCAAUAGACCAGAAAACCCAGUGAUUUGUUACUCUUUUGUUCCUUUACAUCAUUAAGAACACCAAGCCCCCUUUUGCUAAUGAACUUAUACCUUCCAAAAUAAGCAGCAAAAUUUAUAACCAUGAAAGCAAACAAAUACUUUUCUUAAACCUCAAUAAAACAGAGUCUGUGGGUGACUGAGUGCUAUGUUUAAUAGAAGUCAGUAUACUUAAGGCCUUUUGGAGAGGAGCUGCACAUGGAAACAUCAUUUUCACCAGUCAUCAAUUAUGUCCAUUUUCUUUUUCUAGGUCAUCACUUAGAACACAUUUUUAUAUAUACUUGUAACUCUGCCACUCACUGUGAUUUUGGAGAAAUUGUUUAACUUCUCUUUGCCUCAGCUUCUUAAACCAUAAAAUGGGUAGUUAUAUCUGCUGGGGUUGGUAGAAGAAAUAAUAGAAUUAAUUCAUGUGAAAUUCUUAAAAGAGCAUGUGGCAUGUAGCAAAUUAGCUAUAAAUAUACUACUGUUGGUCAAGAUUGAAAAUUACAGGUUCUUGGGUCACACCUGUGACCUAAUGAAACAGAGUAUGGAGUGACUCUUGAGAAUGCAAACCAUAAUGCUCAUCCACAUCCUGUAAUGAGCAUGAGAAACAUAAUCCAUUAGCACUGUGAUUUCAGGGAAACUCAAUUCUUUUCUUCUUCUAGCUUCUGUUUUGAUACAAGAAAUGAUCAUGUGUAUUCUGUUUUAUUUUCAUCUCUUAAACCAGUUUAUUUUCUGAGGAAAAAAAAAAAGAAUACUCCCCCACCUCAGGAAUACAGCAUUUGCAUGUAUUAGCAAUUGUUGGUGUGGAAAUUUUUUGUUGGUCUGUUUGUUUUUGUGAGAUGGAGUCUCACUCUGUCACCCAGGCUGGAGUGCAGUGGCACGAUUUCAGGCUCACUGCAACCUCCUCCACCCUAGUUCAAGUGAUGCUUCUACCUUAGCCUCCCAAGUAGCUGGGAUUACUGGCACCUACCACUAGGCCCGGCUAAGUUUUGUAUUUUUUGUAGCGAUGGGGUUUCACCAUGUUGGCCAGACUCAUCUCAAACUCCUGACCUCAAGUGAUCAGCCCACCUCAGCCUCCUGAAGUGCUGGGAUUACAGGCAUGAACCACUGUGGUCUGGGCAGUAUAGAACAUUUUUAAAACUGCUUUUUAAAUACUUUGUAAAAUGCAUCUAUGGGAUUUUUAAAAUCUACAUUCCUAUUUUCCACCUCAAAGAACUCUAAUAAAUUAGCAAUUUCUACUUAUGAAGCCAAACUUCAUUACCUACCACCUCAUGAUGCUAGUUUUAGAUGCACGUUGAAGAGCUCUCAAUGCCUGUAAAGGGUGACUUUGAAUCUUUGACAAAGCUUGUGUUUCAAUAAGAUUACAAAUAAGGUCACCACUAAUGUGAGAAGAAGGGGAACCACAAAUCUCAUUCCUGGGAAUGCGGAGCAUAUUUAUCAUGCCACAUUGAUUUCACUGCAGCAAUAAUUAGGCUUCAGUAAUUAGAUGCACAAAUCAGCACUCUAUCAUCGUAAGUGGAUUAAGAGGCUGACAAGUUCAACUCCAGUGAUUUCCCACCAGGUAUGGCGGUCAUAACAUUUUUUUUUUCAUUUCUAUUUUCAAGGAACCAAGAAAAUGAAGGUGAGGACUUUGCCUAUAUUGGGAAAAUGAGCCAAGAGCAGAUCUUUCCUUGUCCUUCAUCUUCUACUCACACUGACUAUUUAAGACUUGAACCAGGGAAGCACAGCAUUUAUUAGCAGUCACUUUGUAAAACUGGGCUGAUUUAUCUGAUGGAUGCCAAAGGAACCUUUCUCUUCCUUGACCUCAGUUUGAAAAAAAAAAAAAAUCCUGGGUUAAAAGUGGAUCUCCACUAGAUGACAAUCACUACUUAAAAUGUGUCCUGCAGUUGUCCCUUACUGUUUGGAAAUCUUAGUAAUAGUUUUGUAACAGACACUCUAUUAUUCCUAAAAUUAUUUUUUUUCCCUAGAGACCUUCCCAGAGAGCAAUUUAAAAACUUCUAUUCUUUAGCUAAAAAAGAUGAUCUCUUUUUAUUCUAGAAAAUCUUGAGUUUUUCAUUCUCAGACCCUGCAAUCGAAGUUUUCAUAUACAAAUAGGACUGAUUCUGAGGGAUAAUGCUUAGUGACUGUGAAAAACAAUGCUUGCUAUUUCUUUUUUUUUUUUUUCAUGAAGUUUGGCAUCACAGAUGUUUUCAACUCUUUUCUCUCAUAGCAAUGAUAGUGCUGAAAACAUGUACUGCUGCUGUGUAGAAAAUAUUUAAAAUACAGAACUCUUUUGCAAACAGGGACUAUGAAGAAGGGAGAAAAAGCAGAGAUGAGGGGGUGCCGUGCACUACCCUGCAAAAUGUUAAACAGCUGCAAUGGUGAUAAAUUAGUGUUAAGAAUACAGAAGGAAAAGGUCACAUGGGAUGCUUGUUUCCUUAGAGAAGCAUUUAGUGUGUGUGUGUUCCUCCUACUAGGAGGUAAGCUGAACGCUGCUUCAGAAAUGAACCUCUAAGGCAGGGUGAACUUAAAAGUUUCAACAACAACUACCUCAGAGUAUAUUUUAACAAACAGCCUAAAUUUCCCCUUUUUACAGGCAAAGUUAAAAGCUGGAAUCUCAGAUGAAGAUAAGAUUCUAGCAAAAUCAAAGUGAAAGUCUUAUGAUACUCUUCUAUAUGCAUGAGGUCUCAGAUUAUUUGAAUCAGUAACUCUUUGUGCAGGCAAAAGUCAUCUAGAAAUAUUUAAAAUCUUUUCAGUCUGCAGAGAAACCUGCAUUUACUCAUGGGAGUUCACAUAAUUUCUCAGAUCAUAUAACAUACCAGCUUCUUAAGCUAACUAAAGGGAAAAGCUGGAAAUGCUAACAGUCUAAAGAAAUAAAUCCUGGGUGCCAUCACAACAUUGGACAACUUCCUGAUAAAAUUUGAUCUACCUCUAUUUCUUGAGAGUGACUGGAAUAAUUGUGAUGUAAAAGCAGCAUGUUGCUAAGUAAGACUUAACUGAGUGUGUCUGCUACUGUAAAAUCACUUCAUAUAGAUCUUUUCACUUUAAAAACAGACUCCCCUAGCAGCGUGUCCAAGGAAGCAUACUCCCAACCAUUCUAUGAUUUACCAUGCCUAAAAUCCUGGACAUUUUGUCUUUUCUCAUUAUUUAACCAGCAAAGUGAUGGGUGUUAGGCUUAAGGAUCUCAUUUACAAAAUCUCAUGGGCAAUAUUUCAUAAAUCCUUGCAGAAAGGAAUGAGGCAAGGCUCUGGGCAAAGUUAUUGUAUGUGUCCCAUUUCUACAAGGCUUUCCUUGGCAAAUGUUUUUGUAGAAAUUGAGUUGGUUUCGAAAGGAUGCCCAAUAAGCGUGUAUUAUUGGCAAUCAUUGAAUGUCUCCAAUAACAACCACUCUAAAUCCACUUUGAAAGGUCCAGAGGUGACAGACAGAAGGCACUCCCCUUUUAUUAUGCCAGAAUACUGAGUAGACAGUUUCUCUCACUUGAUAGCAAAUCCUGGACAGAUUUUCUUCUUAAGUCUCACAUAAACAAGCUGCUUGUGCUUCGCUUUCCUUCUACUGUGUUGUAAGUUUCAGGUGAUCAUCCUGAGAAUGCCAGAGUGCAUCUGUAAGAAUGAUGCUUCUCAGCAGCCUACUACAGACCAGACUUGAAGCAUCAAGAUUAGUUCAACAAAUAUUUACACAUCAAUCAAUAUUCUCUUAGAUAUCAGGAUUAGCUAAACACGUGGUUAGAACAAACAUAAAAAAAUUAUUCUUAGGCACCUUCAAUAAAAUCUUUGCUGUCGUAACCCAUGGGGGAUUCAGGAAAGAGCCUUGACUCUUCAUCAGGGAGCUAAUUCCAGAAGUGGAUUAUAGGUGAGUUACACUCUAUCUGGAAUUUAGAAGCUAUGCCAAGUUAAAUCUUGGUAAAGUACUCUGGAUGAUGAAGCAAUGUGUACAAUAUUUAAGGCAAUCACCAGGAAAUUACUGCUAAAACUGAAGACAUCUAUUAAUGACCAACUAGCAAAACCCAUGCUUUAUAGUAUCCAGGGUGGGAAAAAGUAACCAAAAACUAUUGAAUAUUAUGUCUACUUUCCAAAGAUUAUUAAUGGAGAAGCCUAGGAUAAGCAAGAACACUCUCACACAUUCUUUGUCCAGGAUGCUAUGUUCUAGGAUGUACUUCCAAUCUUCCAAUUUCUCUGUAGCUAUUUUAUUUAUUUAUUUAUUAUUUCUUUUUUCGCUUUUGUGUUUUGGAAGCAAUUAAGCUGACUGAGAACUUACUUAGCAACGUGUGUCUCUGGCACAUGGACAUUUCUGUAAUUUCUCGAGAAGAAAACUCUUGGCUAUGGCUGUUACAGCUUAUUCUAAUUACAUAACGGCAUUGGGAUGGGGAUAAUGUAACUAAGAACUGGAAUGCAGUUGCUGUUCACAGAAUUGACUUAAAGGAAUAAAAGCCCAUUUUGAGCUGUAGUGUAUACCUUCAGCUUGCAGAAUAAUACUAGGCUUAUCUCUGGGAAUGUUCUCUCAGGUUUCUUUGCAUCCUACCCCAAAGCUGGUCCACAGUGAUAAGUGAGAGAAUGGGAAACAGACAGGUAUGCAAACUUUCAAGGUGAAAGUAGAAAAUUAAGCUAUCCAGUUUCUAAGAAGAGCUGUGCUGCAUAGAAAGCCUCUAUGCCAUUAUCUCUAAAGUAGGGUCACCUAUGCAAUACUAGGAAGAGGUGAAUAAGAUGGACAAACGGUAAGGUAUAAAUAACAGAAUUGCUUCUAGGGACAAAACUUAGAUGGGAUCCUCUAUCAAAGUAAAGGAAAUAAAACAAAACUGAUUCCUUCAUCUGUGUGGUAAGAAUAUACCUAUAUUAUUUUCUGGUGUCAUUUGAGGCAACAACCUUCCCUGAAACUUGUAUGUAUGUACCUCCAGAUAUAUAUUGGCUCAUAUUGUUCUAGGUAGAUUUUCUCAUCAGCUCCUUGUAUGAAAUAUCAUAUCCAGGUACCUUUUGUCCUUAUACAACUCUCAAUCAAGAAAGAUGAAAAUUCCACUCUAAAACAAAGAUUCCUGUCCUACAUGAAGUCACUUGCAGAACUCCAGCAGUUGCUUAAUUCUGGCUUCCAAAGCCAAGAGCAGUGGUAUCUGUAACUAUAAAAACUAGUUUCUUGAGUGCAAGACCAUGAGUAUGUUCUGAUAACAACAUGAGAUAGGCUGACUCCCUGUAAGUCAAUGCAUUUAUAGAAUAAACUUUGAUUUUGCUUCUUGAUCACCUAAUUCAGAACUGUUUUCUCAUUCUAAGCCUUUUAUUAUUAUUAUUAUUAUUUUUAGAGAUGGGGUUUCACCAUGCAAGUCAGGCUGGUCUCGAACUCCCGACCUCAGGUGAUCCACCUGCCUCAGCCUCCCAAAGUGCUGGGAUUACAAGCAUGAGACACCAUGCCUGACCGAUUCUAAGCCUUUUUGUCUUUAAAUAUUCUUUUUGGCCCAAUUGCUACUCUGUUCUUAUUGAUCCCAACUACUGGCUGGAGAUUUGCCAAAUAAUCUUCACCUCAACUCUAUGUACUAGUGUUUCUGUGUAAGUUUAGAACUAGACUCCUCCUUCUUACAUUAAAAAUAAUAAUUCUGAUCUGCACUGUGAUCCCUUUGUUUUUAAACCUAAUAAUACUUCUUAUAAAUUGGGGUGUGGCCAAUGCAGCAGGACUGCAAGCAUAGUGGACCCUUUCCCCGAUGGCCAAGUCAGUUUUAAGUAUAUUCAAUUUCGACUCUAGUUUGAUGUGGUUAAUUGCUUACAACUUGUUAUAAUAGUUAUAGGGAACAUUUCUUAGUAUAUCACUAUAUGAAUAUGAUGAUGAUUCUCUUGGAAGACUUUUCAAACCUAAAUAAUGAGUUGUUUUUGUCAUUGGGCUUAUUAUUUUUUGCCAUAAUACUAAUA
Molecule: non-coding RNA, 8399 nt
Organism: Callithrix jacchus (white-tufted-ear marmoset)
Lineage: Eukaryota; Metazoa; Chordata; Mammalia; Primates; Cebidae
Source: RefSeq, a predicted model, not a curated record